GAUGAACGCUGGCGGCGUGCCUAAUACAUGCAAGUCGAGCGAACAGACGAGGAGCUUGCUCCUCUGACGUUAGCGGCGGACGGGUGAGUAACACGUGGAUAACCUACCUAUAAGACUGGGAUAAUUUCGGGAAACCGGAGCUAAUACCGGAUAAUAUAUUGAACCGCAUGGUUCAAUAGUGAAAGACGGUUUUGCUGUCACUUAUAGAUGGAUCCGCGCCGCAUUAGCUAGUUGGUAAGGUAACGGCUUACCAAGGCAACGAUGCGUAGCCGACCUGAGAGGGUGAUCGGCCACACUGGAACUGAGACACGGUCCAGACUCCUACGGGAGGCAGCAGUAGGGAAUCUUCCGCAAUGGGCGAAAGCCUGACGGAGCAACGCCGCGUGAGUGAUGAAGGUCUUCGGAUCGUAAAACUCUGUUAUUAGGGAAGAACAAAUGUGUAAGUAACUAUGCACGUCUUGACGGUACCUAAUCAGAAAGCCACGGCUAACUACG
RNAcentral lists this ribosomal RNA (495 nucleotides) under uncultured bacterium. Its description in RNAcentral is "partial 16S ribosomal RNA". It matches the Rfam family "Bacterial small subunit ribosomal RNA", at positions 28 to 505 of the family's 1533-position model. The record is from RNAcentral.